ACUCCUACGGGAGGCAGCAGUGGGGAAUAUUGCACAAUGGGCGAAAGCCUGAUGCAGCGACGCCGCGUGAGGGAUGACGGCCUUCGGGUUGUAAACCUCUUUCAGCACGGAAGAAGCGAAAGUGACGGUACGUGCAGAAGAAGCGCCGGCUAACUACGUGCCAGCAGCCGCGGUAAU
Molecule: ribosomal RNA, 177 nt
Filed under: uncultured bacterium
Lineage: Bacteria
Description: partial 16S ribosomal RNA
Rfam family: Bacterial small subunit ribosomal RNA
Source: RNAcentral